UUGCUAGGGUGGGUUCGGUCCCCGUGUUGCCGGAGCGUAGGAAGGACGCUUGCGGGGUGAGGACGCCCCCCACACGUGGCUCGCGGGUCUGUCCCGGAGGCACGUGCGCUGGGGUAGUUAACCCGCGGGCGGAGUGGCUAGCCGCUACUGUUUGGCCCUAGGUCGGUACUGCGGGUCCGUUCAGGGUCCCUAGUCUGGCCAGGCAUGUGGUUGGUGAGUCCCCGGGUACGUAAGGCUAAAAGCACGAGAAGGACAGAGCCUUUCCUCGGCAAGUUAGUCUUAGGAAGAGAAGCAAGCAAAAAUAACAUUGGAUAUAUUUAUAUUGAAGCUUGGUCGAAACAAGUUGAUAGAAAAUACUAGCAAUGACAAGGGAAGCUAACAUAAAAAGUACUAAGGCGCCUCACGCCGCUUGCAGGAAAACACAAAGAAAAAGAAAAGGAAAAAAGGAACUACGCGGGACGAGCUCCCGGGGUGGUUGCGUCGGUGGCAGGGGCGUCCUUGGCAUCGGUGGCUUCUCCGGCAACCUCCUCAGCAGCGGCUUCAUCGUCGUCGACCUUGCCCUGCAUCCGAGCCACUAUCUCAUCCACCACGCUCUGCACCGCCUCCCGGUGAGCCUUGGCCUCUUCUUCGUCUGACC
Molecule: long non-coding RNA, 637 nt
Filed under: Brachypodium distachyon (stiff brome)
Lineage: Eukaryota; Viridiplantae; Streptophyta; Magnoliopsida; Poales; Poaceae
Description: long non-coding RNA (BDIS_LNC002243)
Source: RNAcentral